Long non-coding RNA from Triticum aestivum (bread wheat), 1499 nucleotides. RefSeq lists it as uncharacterized. The transcript is spliced from 4 exons. The record is from RefSeq and is a predicted model, not a curated record. Lineage: Eukaryota; Viridiplantae; Streptophyta; Magnoliopsida; Poales; Poaceae.
UUCCGUUCUGCAGUCUGCAGCUUCCCACGCACACAAGAGGGAGAGAAAAAAACAGGACCGCGUCCGCAGACACCUUUGCGGCUGCGCAAGCGGCAGCCAGCGGGGGGCUGGGGAGCCGGGCGCCAAGGCAGGGCAGGACCUGAGCCCGCGGGAGUCUCCGGCCGGCCGACCGGACCGCGACCUGGGCAUCUGGGUGCAUGCAUCGCCACAUCGGCCGCUGGACUGGAGGGCCAAGCCGCCAGAGUCAACAUUCCUUACAGUGCUCAAACGAUGAGCAACGACGAGUGUGGUUCUUUCUACCAUUAUCCUAUUGAGUGCCUCCUGGACUAUCCUCUCAGAUUCCACAUCCAAUGCACUUGUUGCUUCAUCUAGCAAAAGGAUUUUUGGAUCUUUAAGGAUGGCUCUCGCAAUUGCAAUUCUUUGUUUUUGUCCUCCGGAAAGCAGAGUGCCACGUUGGCCAACCAACGUAUCGUAGCCCUGGUACAAAGAACGGAUGCGGGCUGACUGCCUUUCUCCUGCCAUUGUCCAGCAUGCCACCUCUGGAAGAAAUGAGGGGAAACAUGCAUUCCAAGAAUUCGAAUGGAAAUUCCACUUACGAAGAAAGGAAGCAACUGCUGUCCCAAUGCCCAGAUAUAUGAAGUUGAGAACAACCUGGAGAUCAAAAGAAUAUUCUCUGUUAACUCGUCUAGCCAAGCCACCCUUCAAGUUAAGUGAUCACCAUAAGCCGUUGUGGCACACCUUGGUGACAGCACGGAGGACAGUGCUGGUCGUGCUCUCGCCGAAGGAGUUGAUGACGUCUCCAAAGAGGACCGAGAUGAGGGGCUCGGACACGCCGUUGCCCACCGCCCCGAGCGAGCCGACCACCAUGAGCAGCAUGUCGAGGCGGUCGGCGUACCUGAACAUGCCGAGCAAUGGAACCUUCUUCUCCGGCCGGUCAUCUUUUCCGCCGUGGGCGUGGCGUGCUCCUUCUCCACUGCUAGCUUCCGCUGUCGCGUCCAUUUCCUGGCGGCUACUUGCUUUGUGCUGAUGUGCUCGACGAGCCUGGCCGCACUGCGCCGUGUGUGGUUCCUGUCCCCGGGGGUGGUGGAGGCACUAUAUAUACGCAUCUUGCGGGCCGCCCAGAGUGCCUUUGACUGUUGGGCUGAUUGGGUGCUCCGGGGCUGGAAGCGACCGGGAAAGUAUGCCAUGGAAAAUUACACGGACUAUGUUAUGGCAUGUGAUUAAUUAUGGGAAAAUUCACAACUCUUGCUGGUGCUGUGGUGCAGGUGCGACAAUUCAAGAUCCAUAGCGUACUUUUGUGCUUUGUCAGCGUAGUCAGUUGGAUGGAUUGCGUUAAUCUUGUGACCUGAGGUGCGCUAAGCUAGUUGGGCUCUUUGGUGUUCACAGAUAAUUGCUCUUGGAAAAAAGAAAGGUGACGCUACGUUUUACUUUUUGACAGUAUAGUAUGUUGAUAUGACUACGAAAACUUCAAAGGACAAAUAUGGAUGUAUUCGUGAGUA